UACGGAGGGUGCAAGCGUUACCCGGAAUCAUUGGGCGUAAAGCGUCCGCAGGCUGUUUGUUAAGUAAGAUGUUAAAUUUUGCAGCUCAACUGUAAAACUAUAUCUUAAACUGGCUAACUUGAGUAUUGGAGAGGUGUGCAGAAUUCUGUGUGUAGGGGUAAAAUCCGUAGAUACACAGAGGAAUACCAAAAGCGAAGGCAGCACACUGGCCAAUUACUGACGCUCAUGGACGAAAGCGUGGGGAGCGAAC
This 250-nucleotide ribosomal RNA is filed under the name uncultured bacterium. RNAcentral describes it as "partial 16S ribosomal RNA". It matches the Rfam family "Bacterial small subunit ribosomal RNA", at positions 524 to 773 of the family's 1533-position model. The record is from RNAcentral.